GUUGGGCUCCUGAGCAACACGGGGCGCUGACUGGCACGUGAUCGCCGUCUCUUGUGCAGUGCUGGAAAGCUUAGAAAAAAAAUUCUGCCAAACCGAGGAAGCCGAUGUUUGGAGGCGGGAGUUCACCAGAAUACGGUUUCUUAUUUCCAUAGAUAAAGCUACCCUUGUGAUGUGACGUUAUAUUGUGAUUCCUGCUCAUAGAAUUUAGAAUAGAACCUCUGAUUUGUUAUAAAUAGGGAAACCCAACAUGGAGUCACAGUGACCAGUGUGGCACCCAUCUUGAUUGUUUCUAAAGAUAUGAUGUAAGGCUCCUUGCUGCUGGGGUUGUAACUUUUGCACCCCAGGGAUUGUACCUCACAAAAGCCAGGGUCUGAGUGCAGUUGCUGGAGAAGGGUCUCGAUGGACCGCACGCACUACGCUCGCUGGAGACUGCCCGUGUCAGAAGCUGCCGGAGUAGAAGAAGUACUACAUAUUCACCAUGGAAAGUUUGGAAGAUGCUGAGAUUUAAAAUGAAGAAAAUGUAGGGCUUCCCUGGUGGCGCAGUGGUUGAGGGUCCGCCUGCUGAUGCAGGGGACACGGGUUCAUGCCCCGG
Molecule: long non-coding RNA, 592 nt
Organism: Delphinapterus leucas (beluga whale)
Lineage: Eukaryota; Metazoa; Chordata; Mammalia; Artiodactyla; Monodontidae
Source: RefSeq, a predicted model, not a curated record